Molecule: long non-coding RNA, 3032 nt
Filed under: Homo sapiens (human)
Lineage: Eukaryota; Metazoa; Chordata; Mammalia; Primates; Hominidae
Description: non-protein coding lnc-CWC27-7:1
Source: RNAcentral
GGGCAGCCUGGGGGCCCGGGUCCGGGAGGCUGUCCCGGGGACUGCGCCCCGCCCACAGGCGACAGCCAGAUCGCGCUGCCGGCCCCUCGAACGCUGGGUUCCCUGGCCACAGCGCGUCUUGUUUAUUGCUUUUGCGGACUGGUUAAAUGCAAAAGCUCAAGGUUUUCUUUCUUUUUUCCGUAAUUAUAAAAGUAGGACAUGCUCUUUUAAAGGGUGGAAAAUUACGAAGAAAAAAGUAAUCACCCAAAGCCCCACCCUCUAGACUCAACCUCUGUUAACGUUGAUGCAUUUCCUUCCUGUCUCCCCCCACAACCCCCUUUCUUUGCAGCAGAUCUUCAGGUUUUUAACGUCAUUUAGUCAUGUUAUAUCAUUUUGUAGCCUACCUUUUUCACUUAUAUUGUGGCAGAAACUUUUUUGUGCUUUUUUCAAACAUUGCUUUAAAGAUCAUAAAGAUCUACUCCUUUAGUAGAGGUAUCAUCAAGUACUUAAACACUAUUUCCGUUUAUGAGCAUCUAAGAUGUUCUCAGUUUUUACUAGUGUAUGAGGUAGACCAUCCCUUCACCCUUACUUACAUUUGCCAGGGUUUGAUGGUUGGUGGAGCAUACAAGCCCAAACUAAAAAUUUGAUCAAAUAUAUGUCAAAUUGUGAGCAAAACUUGAAAGCUUCUGCUCUUUUCUAUAUUGCUAAUGAUAGAGAACCUGGGCAGAAGCUGAUUAUUUGCAGGAUGAGCUUUUGUGCCUGUGAAGGAAGGCCCUGACCUGAAUGGGACGUGGAGAGUUUUGCAGUGGAGAUGGAGGCUGGUGGCAGAAGGCAGAAUGAGAAAGAGGGGCCAAAGAAAAGAAAGUCAGCUGGCGCCUAAAGGAAAAACUCCCCAUGAAGAUAAAUGGCUGAUGAUUUUUGGAACACUGAUGUUGAACAUGCUAAUUCUGUUAGUCCAAGCUCCAGUCUCCUUGUUUCUUUUACUAAAAAACUAGAGAAGUACAGGAGAAAGAACUGGGCCUAAAUGAAGAGAGAGUCACACUAUUUAGUGCAUUUUCUGCCUUCUAAUCUGUCCCCCUUCUCUAAAGUCCUUUUCCCACUUCAUGAAAGGGUAAUAUAAGGUUUCCGUAAGAUUCUAGAUAUCCAGGAUAAGCAGAGGACAUGAACCAUCCAGAUCUUCUCCCUCUCUCUUUUUUAAGAUGGGGUCUUGCUCUGUCACCCAGGCUGGAAUGCAGUGGCGAUCUGGGCUCACUGUAGCCUUGACCUCCUAUGCUCAAGAAAUCCUCCCGCCUCAGCCCCCAAGUACCUUGGACUACAGGCACACACCACCACGCCCGGCUAAUUUUUUUAUGCUUCUUGUAGAGAUGGGGUUUCACCAUGUUGCCCAGGCUGGUCUUGAACUCCUGCUGACCCCAGGCAAGCUGCCCGCCUCAACCUCCAAAAGUGCCGGGAUUACAGGCAUGAGCCACCAUGCUGGGCCCAUCUAGAACUUCUCUGUGAGGUCUGGCAUGAGCCUACUUCUAUUUAUCCCCUGCAAAUCACUUUAACUGAAAGCUGUUCACUUCUAAAAUGAGGUUACAGGAAAAAAAAAGUAAGUAUGUUUUGGUAACUGAACGUGAUGGUGGGAGAAAGGCUGGUGGUUUGAGAAUAAACUCAGCCUCCCAGGGCCUUUUGCCUAGAAGGUCUUACACACUCUUGCAUUGGUUAGCCUGGUUAGUAAAGGGCAUGCAACUCUACUGCUUCUAAGAACACUGUAGGUCCUUCCUGUGCUCAGAGUUGUGUGACGAUCUGUAACUCAAGGGAGAAGCUGGAACAGCCAGCUUUUGACAUCUCCCUUGUUGCUUGGUCUGGAGCAACUUUCCCUUUAUGAGAAAAAGUGUGACACAAACUCUGUCUCCAACCAAGCCAGUUUUCUCCAUGCUGAGUAUCUGUAAGAAAAGCCAGAUUGAUCAAGAGGCAUUCUCUGCUUGGUUUAAAUUCGCAUGACAAAGUAGGCAAUUUUGUGUAAUUGGCACGUGCUUUGCAAAGUAGCCGUCCAUUCUUGAGCCACCUGAGAACUGGCAGUGAAGCAGUGAUUUAACUUCAAAAGGGUGAGAAUGGCUGUGGUGGCUUUCUUUUCCCUCUUAAGGCGGAAGAGGUUCCUGUCUCCCUGUCUCCUUCCCAGAACAGCUCCCUCUACUGACGGUAUGGCUGUCAUCCUCCCUCUAACCCACUUCCUCACCUCUGUGGUCUCCACCUAGAAUGCAGGUGACUGUGUCUCCAUAGGGUGAGAUUUGCUCAAAGAGUAGAGAAAACCCGGCAUCCUGAAAGCAACACUCCAGACCUGGCUGCCAGCCACAAACCCACUAGCUCCUAGAUCUCCAAAUCUACUCCUUUGUUUAGUACCCAAGGAUUCUCACUGUUUCCAUUACUGGAGGAAGGUUCCCUUCUAGCCAUCCAGUUCACAUAGGAUUGGGAAGAAGCUAGCUCCAUUCUCAUCAUAACCGGUGAGAUCAGUUCCUCCAGGCUUGGGCUCCCAGCAUCCCUUCUCCAAGUCACAACAUUCUCUAGACACUUGCUGACCCUGCUAUGUUCUGCCUGUUAAAAGGUCAUCUGCUUUUUGAAUUCUUUCCACUCUCCUCCCAGUUAUUUGUGAUAGUCUCUUAGAAGGUUAAAAAUAACAUUUAUUUCCCCAGUGGUUUUGUAUAUUUCCAUUUGGCAAACUUUAUUUUGUUCCAUGUGUUUCUAAGGGAACAGAAAUGAAAAUGGUUUAUGUCCUACUUCCUACACUGGGCUCAAUGAUGUUGUCAGAAAUGGAAUUGUCUUUCGGUCCAAAGUGGGUACACCCAACCGUAAGCUAGGCUUUAAUGCAGAAACUAUAUAAACUACAAAGACAAUGGACAUUGUUUGGCUAUUGGAAAAUCUACUGCGUUAUACUUCCUUUAAUCAAGCCAUGAAUUUUUUAAUAGAUUCAAGCCACUUUGCACAGACAUGAUAACAGUAUAAAACUGGGUCACAUUAUAAGCAUGAACCAUGACACUGUGUCCCAUUACUGAAAUAAAACUAAAGGCAAC